UUCAGUGAUGAAAACUGCUGCAUAGGAAGUGCCGUCUGAUGCGAUAACUGACGAACAACAGCUGUUCCGAGA
This is a small nucleolar RNA of Melanotaenia boesemani (Boeseman's rainbowfish), 72 nucleotides long. RefSeq annotates it as small nucleolar RNA SNORD49. The transcript has a single exon. Lineage: Eukaryota; Metazoa; Chordata; Actinopteri; Atheriniformes; Melanotaeniidae. The record is from RefSeq and is a predicted model, not a curated record.